GACUCCGUGGCCAAGUUGGUUAAGGCGUGCGACUGUUAAAAAAACUAAUAGUUAUCGCAAGAUCGUCAGUUCAAUCCUGACCGGGGUCG
The sequence is a transfer RNA, 89 nucleotides long. It matches the Rfam family "tRNA". Rfam says of the family: Transfer RNA (tRNA) molecules are approximately 80 nucleotides in length. Their secondary structure includes four short double-helical elements and three loops (D, anti-codon, and T loops). Further hydrogen bonds mediate the characteristic L-shaped molecular structure. tRNAs have two regions of fundamental functional importance: the anti-codon, which is responsible for specific mRNA codon recognition, and the 3' end, to which the tRNAs corresponding amino acid is attached (by aminoacyl-tRNA synthetases). tRNAs cope with the degeneracy of the genetic code in two manners: having more than one tRNA (with a specific anti-codon) for a particular amino acid; and 'wobble' base-pairing, i.e. permitting non-standard base-pairing at the 3rd anti-codon position.